RNAcentral lists this ribosomal RNA (232 nucleotides) under Halipeurus consimilis. RNAcentral's name for it is "partial 12S ribosomal RNA". Lineage: Eukaryota; Metazoa; Arthropoda; Insecta; Psocodea; Philopteridae. The record is from RNAcentral.
GGAGUAGAGUUUAUUGAUCUUGAAAAACUAAAUUGCUUGGCGGCGUAUUAACUAAAUAGAGAAGUAUGUUUUUUAAUCGAUAAUGCACUAAAAUCUUACCCUAUAUUGUUCAAAUCAUUUGGUACACCGCCGUCGAAAGGAUAAUUCUAUUGAAUUGUUCUUAAAUCUUUAGUAAGAAAUAAGUCAGGCCAAGGCACCGACUAUUAUUGGGUUAAAAUGUACUUCAUUAUUA